AAGUAAGAUGGCUGAAAAAGGCAAUAAAUUGUAGAUUUAUUCAUGGUAUCAACCUCUUUCUU
RNAcentral lists this transfer RNA (62 nucleotides) under Hypsibius dujardini. RNAcentral's name for it is "transfer RNA-Tyr". Lineage: Eukaryota; Metazoa; Tardigrada; Eutardigrada; Parachela; Hypsibiidae. The record is from RNAcentral.